GAGGAACACUCACUAUGUGUGACCUUGGGUAAGACUUCGUGAUUUCUACAGCUAAAAAAUAGGCAUAAAAACAGUGCCAAACUCACUGGGCCGUUAAGAGAGGAUUAAGUGAGUUAGUAUGUAUAGAGUCUAGGACUUGGCACAAAUAAAUACUAUGUAAGUAUUAAACUCCUCCUUCUGUACAUGAAGACACUAAGAUUUAGAAAGCUCUAAUUUUUCUCAGUCAUUUAACUGGUAUUGGUACAAGAACUUAAACCAUAUAUUUUAUCUUUAAAACAAGGUUCUUUGUAUUACACAUAUAGUAGAACAGCAAUAAAAAACAAACUAAAUAGCAUGAUUUGGAAUCAGAGAUAGGCAUGCAUGCAAGAAUGAUAAUAAAAUUUCAGGGUUAAAGGAAACUGACAAAAUCACCAAUGUAGUCCUCUGCGCAAUUCAAGAAUUCUCUCCAUGUCUACCUAAGGAAUGGUCAUGCAGCCUCUCCGAACAUAUCCAACAACAGAUUCACUGCCUCAAGAGGGAACCUAUUCCAUGUUUGGCCAACUCAAUUAAAACAUUCUUGUCUUCUAGUUACUAACAUAUUAUUUCUAGUUCUGUUUAAAGUGAGUAAGUCUAACUGAUCCUAGUACUUUCUGUUUAAUGUUUUACUUCAUUUACUUCUACAUGUCAUUCCGUUUGACUUUAAAAUAGCAACAUUUCUUGAGGCGGCUGGAUGGCUUUUUUACGUAAUAAAAAAGGCUACCGUAAUAAAAAAAUGGCUCAGUUCAUGAUCCCACAUUUUGUGGGUUUGAACCCUGCAUCGGGCUCUGUGCUGACAGCUCAGAGACUGGAGCCUGCUUUGGAUUGGAUUCUGUGUCUCCCUAUCUUCUCUCUGACCCUCCCCUGUUUGUGCUCUCUCUCUCUCAAAGUAUAGAAGAGAGGCGCCUGAGUGGCUCAGCCGGUUAAGCGUCUGACUUUGGCUCAGGUCAUGAUUUCACAGUUUGGUUUGUGAGUUUGAGCCCCGAAUUGGGCUCUGGGCUAAUGGCUCAGAGUCUGGAGCCCACUUCAGAUUCUGUGCCUCCCUCUGUCUGUCCCUCUGCUGCUUGCACUCUGUCUCUCGCAUUGUCUCAAGAGUAAAUAAACAUUUAAAAAAAAGAAUAAAACAUUUAAAAAAAUUAAAUAAUAAAAUAAAAUAAAAUAGCAACAUUUCUGUAUGAGAAAACAGUAUGAAAUGCCUCAAAAGCAUAAUGCAACAAGAUUCCAGUCUUUUAUUUUUUCAGAAUCCAUAAGAGGGUAAUUCAUGACAUGUGAAGUAUUUCAAAACUUGUUGCUGUUUUUGCAAAUAAUCCAUAGGAUCUCCAGUUAAAGUAUCCGUUUCUGAAAACUCUUAAAGAUGAAGACAAGUUUUCUUUUUAAUUUUGAAUCAUCACACAUUCAUUCCACAAAGAGCCUUAUUUAUUUAUUUAUUUAUUUAUUUAUUUAUUUUUAUUUUUAUUUUUUAAUGUUUAUUCAUUUUUGAGAGAGACAUAAAGCAUGAGUGGGGGAGGAACAGAGAGAGGGAGACACAGAACUCGAAGCAGGUUCCAGGCUCCAAGCAGUCAGCACAGAGCCCGACGCAGGGCUCAAACCCACGAACCAUGAGAUCAUGACCUGAGCCGAAGUCGGCCACUCAACUGACUGAGCCACCCAGGAGCCCCGAAUUUUGAUUUUUAAAUGUAAUGUAAAAUUAGGUGACACUGUUUAGAUUUUUAUCCAAACUUUAAAAUUCUUGGUUCCUUCAUCUUUUAAUGUUGGAAAUUUGAAAGCAUAAAAAACUAAAAUUUUGGUUUCAUCUCACAGCAGGGGCGUUAAUAUCAUACGUAAUAAAAAAGGCUAUAAGAGGGGUGGGUGCUGGCUGGUCCAGUUGGUAGAGCCUGUGACUCUUGAUCUCAGAGCUGUGAGUUCAAGCCCCACAUUGGGUGUGGAGCCUACUUAAUAUGGAUGAAUGUUAAAAGAGAGAAAGAAAUAAAGGUUACAGGAUAAUCUCCUAUCUUCAUGGACUUUCAUUCAAUUCUUAAACAUAUACAUUUUUUGAAAUGAAAAUAUCCACUUUUAUUAAAUGGAGUUAAAAAUUUUAACCUACGAGAGUAUUAAUUUUCAUUUUGUGGUGUUUUUAUAUUCUUCCUUUAGAGUUUGGGUAGACCACUUUUUAGGUCUGAUUUUAAAUUAUGCACUUAUAUGAAAAUAGAGUAAAAUGAAUCACCUUGUGGUUAAUAAAUUCAAUGUUCUGUUUACAGACAGAUUGUUAUAAAAUUACUGAUCUAUUCUAGCAGCAGCAGUAAAGGUUAUGUCAAGCAACUACUAAAAAAAAUCAUACUACAUGGUGUUAAUGAUGUUACCUUAACAUACCAGCUUCAGGGGCUGCAUAAUUGUUUCUGCCAACCCAUAAAUUUUUGAGUAACAACAAAAUUAUUGUGAUUUUUCUUACUAAAUAAUUCAUACAUUACAAAGCAUGUAUGUAACAAGGUCCAUGAAUCACUAAAGCAUAUAAUGAUCAUAUAUCUAAUGACAUAUCUCUUUUCAUAAGAUGAAUUCAAAUAGAUUUAUGUAUUUAGGUUAACUAAAAAAUACUGAGUUUAUAAGGUUCAUAAUUCUAUCAUCAACAACAAUACAAAAACUUUACAUCUUCUUUAAGAAGUACAGCUUCCAUGAUUUGCUUUUAAAAACUGGAAGCUUUUGUUUAUCAAAAUCCUUGUGUUUAAGCUACUUUUCAUGAAGUUUUACUGCUUUUAAAUUGAUACUAUAAAUAUCACUGAAGAUAAAUUAAUAAUAUAAUGGAGUAGUACAGUGUUCAUAAACUGUAUUUAAAAUGAUAUAAGUGCAACCAAAAUAGCUAUAAGCAAUACUAUAUAACACCUCAUACUAGUAGUAGCUAAUAUUCUUUACCCAGCAACUAGGAUCUAAAAGAGGAUAUUUCCAUUUGCUAACAUUUUACGUGCUUUUCUUUGGUCUUAUCUUCAGUCUUAUCUUUUUAAAACAACACAUUUCUUUAUGCAUGUGUGUAUAAAUACACUGUAUAUGCUAUAUAUACUAUAUAUACUGAAGAAUAACAUACAACAUUGUGUUAGUUUCAGGAUAAAAGUAUAUAAUAAGGAUAUAAAAGUAUAUCCUUAAUGCUACCAAAAAAUGAUCCCAAAUGAGAUUUCAUCUACUUAAUUAAAAGUAGGUUUCAUAAUUAAAAAUUUUUAAAUGCCAAAACUGCAAAGUAUAAAAUGAUGUUAGCAUGUUUUACCUCUUUUAAUCUCUAACAUGUUUCUAAACUCUGUUAUUUUCUACAGAAAUCAUGCAGUUACAUUCCAUUAUAGUAAUAUUAAGUCCUUUACUAAAUUUUAAAAAUUACUUUUAUUUGUGGUAAAAUCCACAGAACACCAAGUUUACCAUGUUAACCAUGUUGAAGUAUACAGUUCAGCAGUAUCUAGUCACAUGACCAUUCACAUUAUCGUGCAAACAUCAGUACUAUCUCUAGACCUCUUUUCAUCUUGCAAAAUGGAAACCAUAUUGCCAUUAAAUACUAACUGCCCAUUUCCCCUCCCCGCUUUACUAAAUUUUUAACAGUUUUAUUGAGAGAUCAUUCACAUGCCACACGGUCUUCCAUUUAAAGUGUACAUUUCCAUGGUUUGAGUAUAGUCAUGGGCUCAUGCAACCAUUACCACAAUCAGUUUUAGAACAGUUUCAUUACCCCAAAAAGAAACCCCAUACCCAUUAACAGUCGCUGCCCAUUUCCUCCCAACCUCCCCAUCCCUAGGUAAUCACUAAUCCUCUUUGUCUCGGUAGAUUUGCUUGUUGUGGACAUUUCAUAUUAAUGGCAUCAUGUAAUAGGUGGUCUUUACGACUCGCUUCUUUCACUUAGCACAAUGUUUUCAAGCUCCAUCAAUGCUGUGGUGUUUAUCAGUGUAUCAUUCUCUUUUUUGACUGAGUAAUAUUCCAGUUAUUCCCAUAAUAAUGUGAAUAUGACACAUUUUAUGUAUUCAUUCUUCAGUUGGUGGCUAUUUGUGUAGUUUCCACUUUUUGGCUAGAAUGAACAAUGCUGCUAUGAACAUUUGUGUACAGGUUUUUGUGUGAACAUUUGUUUUCAGUUCUCUAGAGUAUAUACCUUGCAAUAGAAUUGCUGGGUCAUAUGGUAACUUCAUGCUUAAUAUUUUGAGGAACUGCCAAACUUUUCCAAAGUGGCUGUAUCAUUUUACAUUCCCACUAGUAAUGCAUGAAGGUUCCAGUUUCUCCACAUCCUUGCCAACACUUGUUAUCAUCUGUCUUUGAGGGGCAGAGAGAGAGAAAGAGAGAAUCCCAAGCAGGCUUUGCGCUGAUAGGGCAGAGCCCAACAUGGGGAUCAAAGCCACAAACUGUGAGAUCAUGACCUGAGCUGAAAUCAAGAGCCAGGUGUUCAACUGAAUGAGCUACCCAGGUGCCCCUCUCAUUAUGGUUUUGAUUUGCAUUGCCCUAACAGUUAAUGUUGAAUAUCUUGUCAUGUGCUUAGUAGCCAAAAGUUGUAGAACUUAUUUGCAGAAAUGUCUGUUCAAAUCCAUUUUUCAAAUGGGUUGCUGAGUUAUAAGAGUUCUUUAUAUAUUCUAGCUACAGGUCCCCUAUCAGAUAUGUGAUUUGUAAAUAUUUUCUCCCAUACCAUCAGCUGUUUUCACUUUGAUAGUAUCCUUUGAAGCACAAGAAUUUUUCAUCUUGAUGAAAUCCAAUUUAUCUUUUUUUUUCAUUUCUCAUUUCCCUUUACUAACUUAUCCUUUCCCCAAAUAGGAGAAUUUUACAGCAGGCUCUACAUGAAAUCAAUUUCUUUACUAGAAAACUAACUGAACUUUUAGAAACACACUAAAAACAAUCUACAUUUAUGUUAUCCCAGCUGAAUUAAAUGUAUUCUCAAUUAGCAGAGCAGAGUUCUCAAAAGUAGCUGAAGGGCCAAACUUGUGUCAGCGGAAACUAUUUUAGCCACAUUUUCGUUUAAAGAAAAAAAUUUUCUCAGCAUCUCUUCUCCAAUUUAUAUUGAAAAAAAUACUCUGUGGACCAUGGUCACUACUAAUAAUACUUCUUAUUGUUGGGAAAGCUCUUGUGAAACAUUUGUCAAGUACAAAGAAUAGUACAAAAGUGAAAUAUAGUAAUUAAGAUUUGUGUUCUAUUGAUUGUGUAGCGAAAGUAAUUUUUCAUUACUAACAUAAGAUUUAAUAAGUAUAAGUAGUUAAAGAUUCUGACUUGGCACUAGUCAUUAGCAUGUAAUUGAACUAGUAAAAAAAUCAGUUAAAGCUGUGUUGAUUACCACCUUAUCUUUGAAAGGCAAUUAAAGACCUCAAUCAUUGCAACAAGAUUUGAUUGUGCAGCCUUUAUUGGACAUUGAUCUUUCGGCAAAGUGCAGUUACAUUUUCCAUUAAUUUACAGUAACACAGUUUAACUUUGAUACCCUAGACUGUUGACCCAGGUGAGAUGUAAUGCUAAGUACUUGUUUAGGUUAAGAUGCCCUCAAACAUCAUUACUGUCUGAAUGUAAGUGCUGAAAAAAAGGAGAUACCCGAUCUACCCGCUUUAGAUAAGGUUUCUGUUAUCUGCAUUAGCUUUUAAAUGAAAUGAAACCAAGAUCUUUGUCUGUAGGUCACCCCACUCAUUUAAACAUCAUUCCUCAUUUAACAGAAUUAAGAGGUAUUUUCAUGAAGCAUUAUACAUGUUCUUGAUUAUAGUUUUGAGUGACUAUAAAUAUGAUAAAAAACAAAAUGUACAUUUUAAAAGAAAUAUAUAUGCCUUUAAUAAUUAAAAUUGUUUUGAUUUUUUACUGAAGUCAACAAUUAGCAAAAUAUUAGUGACCAAAUUUGUGUGAUAAAAGAAAUAACUGUACAAUUGGCUAUGUUAAGACAUUAGUGCUGAAAAACUAGGGAUUUUUAUAUUAGCAACCUCUUUCAUGCCCCCAAUUCUUACUGCAUCUUUACAGUAGUUCACAGCUUAUGCAGGAACUAAACAUUCUGACUGGAAAUUUCUUCCAAUACUUGCUAAUUGAUUUGCAUAGAAGUAACAAGAUUUACGAAAUUUUAUACCAAAAACACAUCUUCGUUAAAAAAUAGUUUUGCUUGAUUUUUGAGACAAAAUCCCAUCAAGGGAGUUAAGUAUUGGCAGAAAAGCUGUUUUUGGUUUCAUCAACUAAGAAUAUUCCUAAUAUCCCAAAGGGCAGCAGGGUCAGCUCAGAACCCUGCUUGCAACCUCAGGUGUAAUCAGCAUGUGCACACCCAUAAAAUGCCUUCAAUGUGUCCCCUUUCUUCCUCUCACCUUAUUUUUAAAUCCUUUGAUUAACGAAGUCUUUUACAUACAUACAAAUAGAUACGGAACAGAAGAAUGAGGAUUACAAAAACAGCCUUUACUGAAAUAAAACCGGCAUUUGCUUAUGAGCAUAUUUAUGAUACAUUUUAAAGUAGAAAGCCUUCUUGUUUUGGUCUUCUCAGAUUACAGGUGGAAAAAACUUAAGACACAAAGGAGUAGAGUUAUUAGCUUGAGGUCAAAAAGUAAUACAGCACUGAUACUAAAAAUAGAAUCAAUUUCCUGACUUCCAGCAUUUAUACUUUAUCCCUUUUAGGCCACAGUGCUUCCAUGUAUUUUCCACUUUAAAGGAAAAACCAUUACUGUUCAAUGGGGAGCAUUUUUAGACUAAAAGGUUCACUAUAAGACUUAAUAAAUCCAGUGAAUGAUAUUUUAAUAUUUGAACCAUGCCCUUAGCCAUCGUUGAGUUCAUCCUUCACUAUGAUCAACUCCAUGAGAGCAAGAGGUCUAUUGAUUUUCAUGUAAUACAAGAAAAUAUUACAUUUGCUUAAUUGUUACACAGUGAGCACAUGAGACAAGAAAUCAAGGCUCUAUUUAAUGCUGCAAGCAGCAGAGAAUUACAGAGAUCAAUAGGGUAGUUUGUCAAAGAUCUUCUCCAAGGAGACUUACCUAUCACCAUAUGGACAAGAAGUCACACUGACUGUAGCUAUUGAAAAACAGGUAAGCAGAGUCAGCAGUACAAAUUAUCAGAAAUCAAACAGGCCAGUGUGAAAAGAAGUGCAACUCUACUGAAAAGCUGUAUUUAUAGUCUGGUAAUUAAAAACCAUUUUAUCAGCCUUGUGUUGGGACCAAACCUUUACAGCAAGUAUUGACAAGACCAGCAGCAGUGAAUGAGCAGUAUUUGACUUAAAACUUAUGAGCUAUAGUUAUUUAACUUUGCCCAUUACAGGGGAAAUCAGUUCUAGCCUUCCUUGCAAAAUGCUAAUAGUCAGUUUUAUUAUUAAUGAAGUCUAAUGUAACACUAUCUUCUUUGUGUAAGCCAUUCAUUUAACUAGUGUCAAGUAUAUUCUUCUGGACUAAAUAUAUGGGCAUAAGUACUUCUUUGAUUAAAGUGUUAUUUAGAAUUGCUUUUAGACAAGUGAAUGCUACAUAUAUUUGAAGAACAGCUCGCUCUCGGUAGCUCAUUUAAAAUGACCACCUUGAACGAAGUCAGUUUGUAUUACUUCAUUCUGGUAUUUUCACCUCAAGUCACUUCCAGUCACUUUCUCUACUGAUUUGCCAGAAGUAAGCACCCAGUUGUUGGUUAGAUUGUAUUGUAUAGAAUAUUUUGCUACAAAAAUGUGUAAACUUGCAGAGUAUCAGCAACACAUUAACAUAAAAUGAUAUAUAAUGUAUGUUUGUAAUUAUGGGAGAGAUCAUAAAUCUUAAACACCCAUUGGUUUAGAAAUUAAAUAGUUCUACUUAGUUCCCCCUAAAUUACUCCAAAUUUCUGAAAUUUACCAUUCGUCUGGGUAUUUUGUAACUACCCCCAAGGAUAAAUUUUUUUAAAUGACUUUGCUUUCAAAAACGCAAUUAACUUAAUAAAAUCUUAACACAAAACUGCCAUCAGGUCUUUAAAAUUUCAGCCCAUUUCCCAUCACCAAUAAGUGUAUGGAUAUGUACCAUUUCAGCUAAUUGCUUUUGUAAACAGUCACCAAAUUUAUUCUUCUGGGUCUGUGUAGAUCUUAAUUGUUCUUACAGCUUUAUCAGCGUGCUCUUUUAACUUUUAAUAAGUCUUAAUUUCAUCCAUCUUGCUACAUUUACAUUAACCAGAGUCAUUAUUUUUUUUUUCAAAGUAGUAUGGUAUUGGAGGUUUAGACGAUAAGAAAUUUCAACAUUACACCUGAACCUCUCAUCCAGGUAAAUGGCACAAGGGCUUUAAAACAUUCCCAUUUAAAAUCCUGCCAGCCAAAGAGUUUAGAUUUCAGAUUGCAAUUAGAAUUCAUCAGUUUUGGAUUUGCCAAUGGUAUUAUCUCCACCUUUAUCCUAAAAUCCCCUACUUCUUUUUCCAGUGUCAUAUAAAAGGUUUUCCCAUCCUUCUUUGUAUGGGUAUCUCUAUUUUCUCUUCAGAGUUGAUUUAAAUUGUUAAUACCUAACUAUAGAAUAUAUAUAGGUUGUAAUCAUUUUUUAUAUGUAAUUUAACCUAAUUCUAGGGAAAAAAAUGGUGUAUGCCUCAUGCAUUUGUAGUUCCCAUUGGCUAAACUGAGUAUGUAAUAUAUAACCAUGUAUGAAAAGCUUUGCCUCUUGAGGGCAAUGAUUCAUCUUAAAGAAUCAGACACCACAGAAAGAAAAAGGUGUUUGCAAAAGUUUUAUUUUAAAGGGUCAAAAAUAAAUAUUGUACAUACACACAAGAGAAAAUCCACCGAUAUUUAUGUUCUCCAAGGCUCACCCUUCAGUACAUGGCACCUUCAUCUUCUUUAUUUAGAAAAUAAACUGUUAUUGGUCCAUAACUGGUGUGCACAGUCUCUGUGACUCUAGCAAAUAACCAGGAGCCAAGUCCAUACAAUAAAGUUGGAAUACCUAGAAAACAAAUCAUAUGUUUUUAUGAACAUCAGUACUUCUUAAUCACGCAUCAAUAUAUUUGUCAUGGUGCAAAUCACAAAGCACUCUUCAGCAAUGUCAACAAAUUAUAAAGUUAUAAAAAUAUAGACAUGAGUGAAGAUGGACUCAUUAUCUAAGAGCUCAGUUUCAUCUGUUUGUGGAACUAUGUGAGCCUAGAGAUCUUUAAAACUAUAGAUAAGGCUGGUUUAAACUUUAAUUCAAAGCACUUUAUAAGCACUAAUUCAUUACUUCCAAGUAAUUAUGAAGUAAUUUUAUAUUCUUUUUGCAAAUAAACAGAAUAUUCAUUCAUUUCGUUGUAGAUGCUCCUGAUUAUUGGCCUUGAGCUUAAAUUACUAGGUCAACUUUACUGUGCGUUAAGUUAAACAGCAACACUGAUGGUUAAAGUAAUUUUUUGUGCAACUUAAAAGAAACUGGGUCAAAGAGCUGUCUUCAAAACCUAAGGCAAAACGUAACUCUAAGGAAGAUUUUAGUAUAACAGCCAUGAGAAAUACUCCCAUUAGUAUUUUUACAGCUGAUUUGAAAACAACCUUGUUUCAACCUAUUUGGAAUAGGUAUUCAGUAGAUUCCAACAACAUGUUUCUUCUUUGGAGUAUUUCCAUUUGAUAAGAUCUUGCUGUUAUAUUUGAGACUAGCUGCCAUUUGUGAUUCAUGGAACUAAGCCUACUACUAACCAGAGAUAAUGGAUUAAGCACUUAUGCAAAUGAAACUAUAGUGGGCACAAAACAAACUUUCACAGUUCCUAUCUUUUUUAAGGCACUUAUUUAAAUUCAAUGACUACUGACAUAUUAAAAACAUGUAUAAAACCAACAGGCAUAUGAAUCAAUAGCAAAUAUUGUAUGCUCGACACAGUGUUAAUUUUAUUGUUACCGUGUAGGAGUUGGACAUAAAAAGACAAUUUAAAAGACAAGCUGUCCAUUUGGAAAAUCCCUCUUUCCAGCUAAUAGGGAAACCACAUGCUCAGGACUAAUCAUAUUGCUAAAUUUUUUCUUAUUUUUCUGCAGGAAUAUAUCUGCCGUUAUGCUCUUUUUGAGUAAGUGCACUGGACUACUUUGUGCUUAUUCCCUGAAGCUGCAUUCCAACCACUGUGAUGCCAGAGACUAAUCAGGAGAAGCGUCACUAUCUGGCAAUGAGAACAGAAAAAAAAUGCCCAUUCAGUCUGGCACCUCUCUAUUUUUAGGAAUAUACUGGGUCAUAGUUUGUCACUAUCACAGGGUUCCCUGGAAUGCCCAUGAAAUCUCUGACUGCUUUCUUUGCCUUGGUAAUACCCAAAAGAAUCUCUAAAUGCUUCAAGGGAAUGUCACAAAAAAGCCACAAAAACUAGCAUCAUAAAGCUAUUUAUAAAUAAUUUUAUCAGAAAAAAAAAAGGCAAGUGGAGUGUGGUUAGGGAAGCAUACAGGCAGAAAUGAGUGAAGAAUAGAAAGAUAAGUUGAAAUAAAAAAUUAAAUAUGGCAUCACAACUUUAAAGCUGAAAAUCAAUGGGGUAAGAAAGAAAAAAACAGGUUCUAGGAACAAGUAUUAAUUUUUAAAAUAUACUGACAGUAAAUUAUAUAUAAGAUAUGCCUUUUAAACCAACGCUAAGGACAUAAAUUUAAGGGGUGGCUGGUGAAACUGAAAUCUUGUUUGAUUGUACUUAUCAGUUUCCAGUUAAAAUAUUGGCACGUUUUAAAAACCACACAAAUCAAUGGUCCAUAUUUUUUCAGCUAAAAUGGAGAACUGAUCAAAGAUUACCAGUUUAAUCAUAACUACAUUACCUCUCACUAAGAAACAGCUAGGAAACACUAUCAAUAAUUUUGUUUGAUAGGGGAUAGAGUUGUGAUACAGGAGUCAAAAAUUCUCUAUUUCUUUUUUCCUGCAGUCUAUUUAAUGCAGUCAGGCUAAUACACCAAAUGAGAAGAUUUGCCACUGACAUAAUUAAAACAUAAAAAAAAUAAUUUUAUGGCACAUAUGCUAUAAAGUCUAUAAAAUUCUGUGAGAAAUUAAAUUUUUCCCAGACUGAAACAUAACAUCAAAAUGAACAUGAAAGUCAGUUCUUUGCAUAAUAAUUCAUUUUGAGUCAGCUGAACAGUAGGUAAACCACUGUCAAAUUAAGCACUUAAAAAAAAUUAGAACUUCUUAGCAAGUCUCCGAUUACCCAUUCAUUCCAAUGGUAAGUUGCUUUUCUUAAAUCUCAAUCUACUUCCCAGCAGGAUACCCAGACUGAUAAACCAUCAGUAAAAUGUCAGCUUCCACUGAAGGGAAGACAGAGGAGAAAGAGAACAAAUGGUAAAAGAGAAAUCUUUAUUAUUUACAAAAUGGAAAAAUGAAUUACUCUGAUAAUUAUUAAUUUAGAAGGGAAUAAGAGGAAUAAAAUCCUAAGUAUUUUUAUUAAUAGAAUAUGUACUUGAUGAUCCACAGGGGCAAUUUGUACAUCACAGAACAGGGAAGAAUCUAUUAUCUAAUUCUCUACCGUAAGACAAAAAUACAAAAUAAACAUUGCCAAAUUGGUGAAUACACUAUUCUUUGAAAAGUGCAGGAAAAAAUUCCCUGUAUCAGUAAAAGCCAAUUCGAAUUAAAGCAUGCAUGAGCAGAAAGUUUUCCUUUUUGUUUAACUUAAAACUCUUAUUCCCACGUAGGCAGGAUUUUUAGAAUUUCCAGAAGACCAUUACAUCACUCUUCAGCCUUCUCUUCCACAUAAAAAAAAGAAAAAGAAAAACUACAACUGUUGUUUCUUUCCUCAAAAGGUUUCACUUCUCUGUGUGAGAAUGUUCUGUGUAUCCUAAUUUUCUUUGGAUUUCUUUGUAUCUAUAUGCAAAAGAAAGCUCCAAACCGUUAAGGUGUUC
Molecule: long non-coding RNA, 11674 nt
Filed under: Lynx pardinus (Iberian lynx)
Lineage: Eukaryota; Metazoa; Chordata; Mammalia; Carnivora; Felidae
Source: RNAcentral